GGUGGCUCAGUGGUAAAGUGCUUGCCUUGCAUGCAGGAGGCCCUGGGUUCGAUUCCUCAGAACCA
This 65-nucleotide transfer RNA is filed under the name Dipodomys ordii (Ord's kangaroo rat). It matches the Rfam family "tRNA". Rfam says of the family: Transfer RNA (tRNA) molecules are approximately 80 nucleotides in length. Their secondary structure includes four short double-helical elements and three loops (D, anti-codon, and T loops). The record is from Rfam by way of RNAcentral. Lineage: Eukaryota; Metazoa; Chordata; Mammalia; Rodentia; Heteromyidae.